GACGAACGCUGGCGGCGUGCUUAACACAUGCAAGUCGAACGGAAAGGCCCUGCUUUUGUGGGGUGCUCGAGUGGCGAACGGGUGAGUAACACGUGAGUAACCUGCCCUUGACUUUGGGAUAACUUCAGGAAACUGGGGCUAAUACCGGAUAGGAGCUCCUGCUGCAUGGUGGGGGUUGGAAAGUUUGGGCGGUUGGGGAUGGACUCGCGGCUUAUCAGCUUGUUGGUGGGGUAGUGGCUUACCAAGGCUUUGACGGGUAGCCGGCCUGAGGGGGUGACCGGCCACAUUGGGGCUGAGGUACGGCCCAGACUCCUACGGGAGGCAGCAGUGGGGAAUAUUGCACAAUGGGCGGAAGCCUGAUGCAGCAACGCCGCGUGGGGGAUGACGGCCUUCGGGUUGUAAACCGCUUUCGCCUGUGACGAAGCGUGAGUGACGGUAAUGGGUAAAGAAGCACCGGCUAACUACGUG
Molecule: ribosomal RNA, 468 nt
Filed under: uncultured bacterium
Lineage: Bacteria
Description: partial 16S ribosomal RNA
Rfam family: Bacterial small subunit ribosomal RNA
Source: RNAcentral